GACAUAGGUGGCGAACGUUAUCCGGAAUUAUUGGGCGUAAAGGAUGCGUAGAUGGUGUAGUAAGUUAUCGGUGGCAAAUCGAGGCUCAACCUCGCGGAAGUCGGUAAUACUGCUAUGCUAGAGGAUAGGAGAGGUUAACGGAACUCCCUGUGGAGCGGUGAAAUGCGUAGAUAUAGGGAAGAACACCAAUCAGGCGAAGGCAGUUAACUAUUCUAUUCCUGACAUUGAGGCAUGAAAGCGUGGGGAGCAAAACGG
Molecule: ribosomal RNA, 255 nt
Filed under: uncultured bacterium
Lineage: Bacteria
Description: partial 16S ribosomal RNA
Rfam family: Bacterial small subunit ribosomal RNA
Source: RNAcentral